Molecule: long non-coding RNA, 1181 nt
Organism: Triticum aestivum (bread wheat)
Lineage: Eukaryota; Viridiplantae; Streptophyta; Magnoliopsida; Poales; Poaceae
Exons: 4
Source: RefSeq, a predicted model, not a curated record
CAUCUCAUCCACACACCGAACAGACCCCGUCGAUGGCGCUCUAGACUCGCCCGCCGCCACCCCGUCGCCGGCCCUCCCCCGCCACCCUGUCGCCGGCCCCGUCGCUCCCCCGCCCUGUCGCCGGCCGCGUCGCUCCCCCGCCCCGUCGCUGACCCUCCCCCUCCCCGUCGCCGGCCCUUGCCCUCGUCCACGGCCCGCCCCGUCGAGGUCCAGGUCCGCGACGGAUCCGCCUACGCUGGCGUCUUCCACACCGCCUCCCUCAACGCCGGAUAUGUGUUGGACAUGCAUAUAAGAAGAGGAUGAAGUCAAUAAUUAUGAGCUGAAGUUCAGAUAUAUUUGACCUGUCAAGAUGUGGAAAGUAUAGCCACAUGGGCCAUCUUUCUUAUAGACCGACCAGUUGCGCCUCCCUGCCGGUCGCCGCUCGCCACCCCAAGGAUUAAGGUCGGCCGCGCAGGUCCCCGUCGGUCACUGCUCCGGAUCCAGGCCGCCCACCGCCCCGCCCCCAUCAGCCCGGUCUAUUUCCCACCGUAUCCCAUCUUUGCCGCCAUCCGACGCACCUUCUUCAAGGAGCUGCGACCCCAUGUCUCAGAGGAGCUAGCCCCGACGCCAUUGAUGCCCGAGCGACGCUCCCAAGCUAGGAGCGGCACUAGGACGACCACGCCCCCGAAGCCUAAACUGCAAGAUCCACCCACGCCCUCUCCAUUGCCACUCCACCGGUCGCGUAGAGAAGAUCGAGAAAUGCAGCCUAACACCGGUGUCGAGCUGAUUCAGGGGAUGAUUCCACUCAAACGUAAUGAGCAUAUAUGAACAGGUUUUCAGUACGUCCAUGCCUUUGGGGCAUCUGGAGCUUCACAUAAUUGCUAAUUAGUGGCUGGGAUUUUGACGUCGCCUCUUAUACAUAUAUAGAGUUGCACUGUGAUUAAAUUUAUAUUGCUUUAAUAAUGUUCAAGCUUGGAAAAUGAUGCUUAGUUCUAGACAAUGGAAAUAAGUUGUCAUUAUUUCGGAACUUAUCCGUGCACUAAGACUUGCUACUUUGAUUCUGUUGUUUGCUAGAGAAAAUAGCUAUGUAACCUGGACGACCACUCUAACCUCAUUUCUGAAUUUGGUUUCUUAGAGUUCAACCAUGUCUUUCAAAAAUCAAACUAAAACAUAUUCCAUUUAUUUAUCCCACUGUUUAUAGG